AUAUCAGUCAUGCAUAGCAUAUCAAUAAGCGGAGGAAAAGAAACUAACAAGGAUUCCCUAGUAACGGCGAGUGAAGCGGGAAGUAGCUCAAAUUUGAAAUCUUCAAGGUUUUACCUUGACGAAUUGUAGUUUAAAGAAGUGUUUUCUGUUGAAGUUUUGGUAAAAGUUCUUUGGAAUAGGACAUCAUAGAGGGUGAGAAUCCCGUAUUUGACCAUUACUUUCAGCUUUGUGAUACACUUUCAAAGAGUCGGAUUGUUUGGGAAUGCAGUCCAAAAUGGGUGGUAAAUUUCAUCUAAAGCUAAAUAUUGGCGAGAGACCGAUAGCGAACAAGUACCGUGAGGGAAAGAUGAAAAGAACUUUGAAAAGAGAGUUAAACAGUACGUGAAAUUGUCAAAAGGGAAGCGUUUGACACCAGUGUUGUUUUCUCGAAAAUCAAUUAAAAAGAGUUGGAUUUUGUGUUGUAUUGACUUUAUCGGCUUUCUUCACUCUUUUCCUAGCUUUUUUUAAUGCACUUUUCGUUUAACAAGUCAACAUCAGUUUCUUUUGUUGUAAAAAGGUCAUUGGAAGGUGGCUUUCUCUUCGGAGAAAGUGUUUAUAGCCUUUGACUCAUGCAAUCGGAGAGACUGAGGUCUGCAGCGUAGAUCCUUCGGGGUUAGAUACAUUUGUGCUAAGUUAUAGCUUUUCAUAGACAACUUGUUGACUAUGUUUAGUCUUGUAGCUUACUCGCUUAUGCUAUUUUACCUACGCUUAGGAUGUUGAACUCUAUCACACACAG
RNAcentral lists this ribosomal RNA (775 nucleotides) under uncultured Neocallimastigales. Its description in RNAcentral is "partial large subunit ribosomal RNA". It matches the Rfam family "Eukaryotic large subunit ribosomal RNA", at positions 22 to 621 of the family's 3401-position model. The record is from RNAcentral. Lineage: Eukaryota; Fungi; Neocallimastigomycota; Neocallimastigomycetes; Neocallimastigales.